AGAGCCUAAAUUGGAUGAAAAAAUACAAGAGCAGAUACCUGCCAAAGAUUUCAAAAUGGAAGUUUUGCCUCUGAAAAUAUGGACUGGGAAAAGAAAACAAAGCAUGCAGGAAAGUUAAAAGCUCCAAACAAGGAUGUUCUUCUGUCAACUUGGGCUUCUUGUAAACCAUCAGAUGUUGGUUUGCCAUAAACCAUCAGUUUUAUGGCAAAGGUAUCAGACUUCAUAAAUUUCAUGGAUUCUAAGUGACUGAAUCCUGAGGUCAAAUGAAACAAAAAUCCUACAGGUUUAUCAUAAACACUCAUAUACUAAGAAUUUA
Long non-coding RNA from Chiroxiphia lanceolata (lance-tailed manakin), 316 nucleotides. RefSeq lists it as uncharacterized. NCBI's taxonomy places the organism in Eukaryota, Metazoa, Chordata, Aves, Passeriformes, Pipridae. The record is from RefSeq and is a predicted model, not a curated record. The transcript has 2 exons.